Molecule: ribosomal RNA, 484 nt
Filed under: uncultured bacterium
Lineage: Bacteria
Description: partial 16S ribosomal RNA
Rfam family: Bacterial small subunit ribosomal RNA
Source: RNAcentral
GACGAACGCUGGCGGCGUGCUUAACACAUGCAAGUCGAACGAUGAAGCCGGAGCUUGCUCUGGUGAAUUAGUGGCGAACGGGUGAGUAACACGUGAGUAACCUGCCCUUGACUCUGGGAUAACUGCGGGAAACUGUAGCUAAUACCGGAUACGACCCUCGGAGGCAUCUCCUGGGGGUGGAAAGAAUUUCGGUCAAGGAUGGACUCGCGGCCUAUCAGCUAGUUGGUGAGGUAAAGGCUCACCAAGGCGACGACGGGUAGCCGGCCUGAGAGGGUGACCGGCCACACUGGGACUGAGACACGGCCCAUACUCCUACGGGAGGCAGCAGGGGGGAAUAUUGCACAAUGGGCGCAAGCCUGAUGCAGCAACGCCGCGUGAGGGAUGACGGCCUUCGGGUUGUAAACCUCUUUUAGCAGGGAAGAAGCGAAAGUGACGGUACCUGCAGAAAAAGCACCGGCUAACUACGUGCCAGCAGCCGCCGUAA